This 492-nucleotide ribosomal RNA is filed under the name uncultured bacterium. Its description in RNAcentral is "partial 16S ribosomal RNA". It matches the Rfam family "Bacterial small subunit ribosomal RNA", at positions 29 to 507 of the family's 1533-position model. The record is from RNAcentral.
AGUGAACGCUGGCGGUAGGCCUAACACAUGCAAGUCGAACGGCAGCACAGUAAGAGCUUGCUCUUACGGGUGGCGAGUGGCGGACGGGUGAGGAAUACAUCGGAAUCUACUUUUUCGUGGGGGAUAACGUAGGGAAACUUACGCUAAUACCGCAUACGACCUACGGGUGAAAGCAGGGGAUCUUCGGACCUUGCGCGAUUGAAUGAGCCGAUGUCGGAUUAGCUAGUUGGCGGGGUAAAGGCCCACCAAGGCGACGAUCCGUAGCUGGUCUGAGAGGAUGAUCAGCCACACUGGAACUGAGACACGGUCCAGACUCCUACGGGAGGUAGCAGUGGGGAAUAUUGGACAAUGGGCGCAAGCCUGAUCCAGCCAUACCGCGUGGGUGAAGAAGGCCUUCGGGUUGUAAAGCCCUCUUGUUGGGAAAGAAAAGCAGCAGGUUAAUACCCCGCUGUUCUGACGGUACCCAAAGAAUAAGCACCGGCUAACUUCGUG